GCUGAAUUGGGGCCAGUAGGCGGAGGAAUAAGAAGGGUGAAAAAGUUAGUGGGAAUGACGGGGCGUAAAGGGUGCGUAGACGGUAUGUUAAGUUUGUUGUUAAAGGCUCCGGCCGAACUGGAGUAUCGCGAUGAAAACUGGCGUACUAGAGGGUGAGAGAGAGAAGUGGAAUUCCUGGAGUAGCGGUAAAAUGCGUGGAUCUCAGGAGGAACACCAAUGGCGAAGGCAGCUUCUUGGCUCAUACCUGACGUUGAGGCACGAAAGCGUGGGGAGCAAACAGGAUUAGAUACCCUAGUAGUC
This 300-nucleotide ribosomal RNA is filed under the name uncultured Natronobacterium sp. RNAcentral describes it as "bacterial SSU rRNA". The stretch from base 52 to 300 matches the Rfam family "Bacterial small subunit ribosomal RNA", at positions 547 to 795 of the family's 1533-position model. Lineage: Archaea; Methanobacteriati; Methanobacteriota; Halobacteria; Halobacteriales; Natrialbaceae. The record is from RNAcentral.